This is a long non-coding RNA of Drosophila gunungcola (fruit fly), 1512 nucleotides long. RefSeq lists it as uncharacterized. The record is from RefSeq and is a predicted model, not a curated record. The transcript has 3 exons. Lineage: Eukaryota; Metazoa; Arthropoda; Insecta; Diptera; Drosophilidae.
GAAAAUUAAUUUGCAUAGUGUGCAUAAAAAGUUUUGAAAAAGUUUCGACGACAUUAGUAAAGAUAAGUGUAUUUGCGCACGGACAGACGGACAAACGGAUGCUGACCAAGAUUUUAACUCUACAGCAGUGGACGGCACACAUACUGCAACAUUUUUGCGCUUCUUUAUGUGAGUAAUUUGGUCGGCGAAACUUGGCAGUGCUUGCGCGGCUUCAUACUGUUCGUGCCACCUUCUGCCGCCGCACUGCUGCAGCUUUCCCGUAUGGCCUUAGCCGACCAUCGCCCUAUAGGGUCAGUUAUGUCUCAAGAGGUGCAGAAACUUCGAUGUUUUCAAAACAUCGGUAACAUCGAUGUUACACAAGCUGAGUAAGUGGAGUGGAGGCAUGGACAAAUAUCUGAAACUGUAAAACCCCCCACCAUCAGAUCCGACCACUGGCGCACCAACAACAUGCAGCGAUAUUGUCGACCACAGCGCCAAACACAACGGCAAUAAUAACGUUGACAACUAAGCAUAACCAAAAAAAUAUUCAACAAGCGGUCCUGGCCAUACAGACUGGUAUGGAUCGCUACAUCCAAAUUAAGCGUAAGCUACAUCGCUACAUCCAAAUUAAGCUUCUUCGACAAGUUAACACCCAAAAUAAUACAAUUUCUCAGACAGAGGAAAUGAGUAAGCAUUGAUUGCACAACAAACAGCAAAGCAAUGCCCUCAAUAAUAGAAUUUCCCAAACCGAAGAAGAGAGCAUUAAUUGCACAACUAACAGCAAAGCAAUGCUCUCAAUAAAGUUCUAACGAACUUAGCUUGCACCUUUUGGUCAGCGAUCGUGGGAAUGCAGAACAGCCAAUUUUCAAAGUUGAUCGAACUCAACUUAGUGCAUACAAUAAAAACUAUAAUUAAAAUGCACUGGCCAAUUACAAUUAAGUUUGGCCAACGGCGACGGCGACCAAGAGCAGCAACCAAUAAUAUGAAAGAACGUCAGCAGAAACAUCAACAGCGGCAGAGACGGCGGCAGCGAUGGAGCGACGCGUAGCUAUAAAAACAAUUGUUUAACCUAAGUAAGUUAGUUCUUAAUCCAACUCAAUAAAGAAAGGUUUGAUUUUUUUAUCAAAAUCAUAAUCAAUCUUUUAACUGGCGCCCGAACAGGGACCUGAUUAAAACCGCGAAAGGAUAACAAGUUCCGCGUCUCGCGAAGUUCAGAAAGUAAAAAAUUCUGACGUUUCGUUUCAAACCUCCGCCUAAUCAGUGAGAAGUAAGAAACCAAAAAUACCGAGAUUCGGAAGUGCAAAAGUGCCGUUUAAAAAACGCCGCAAAUUGUCACUCCUGAAAAAAAAACAGGACUUGUACCCGGUGGAAUAAUCAGGCCAAAUUUUAUCGCCGUGAUCCCUUUAGUAUCCGUUCGAAGGGAACGUGAAUUAAGGUACAGAGAAGGCCCCUUAGUAAACUCACACUCAGGAGAGAUCGUUGCAGAGUGGGAUAAAACGGAAUCUGCCGAGCCUGUCAUCACGAGAGCACGCC